This 71-nucleotide unclassified non-coding RNA is filed under the name soil metagenome. RNAcentral describes it as "partial internal transcribed spacer 1". The record is from RNAcentral.
AUGAUUUUUUAUUAUUUGUGAACGUACUACGAACAAACAAAAAAAUAUUAUAGUCAAAAAAAAUUAAAUCA